GAUGAACGCUGGCGGCGUGCCUAAUACAUGCAAGUCGAGCGAACAGACGAGGAGCUUGCUCCUCUGACGUUAGCGGCGGACGGGUGAGUAACACGUGGAUAACCUACCUAUAAGACUGGGAUAACUUCGGGAAACCGGAGCUAAUACCGGAUAAUAUAUUGAACCGCAUGGUUCAAUAGUGAAAGACGGUUUUGCUGUCACUUAUAGAUGGAUCCGCGCCGCAUUAGCUAGUUGGUAAGGUAACGGCUUACCAAGGCAACGAUGCGUAGCCGACCUGAGAGGGUGAUCGGCCACACUGGAACUGAGACACGGUCCAGACUCCUACGGGAGGCAGCAGUAGGGAAUCUUCCGCAAUGGGCGAAAGCUUGACGGAGCAACGCCGCGUGAGUGAUGAAGGUCUUCGGAUCGUAAAACUCUGUUAUUAGGGAAGAACAAAUGUGUCAGUAACUAUGCACGUCUUGACGGUACCUAAUCAGAAAGCCACGGCUAACUACGUG
Molecule: ribosomal RNA, 497 nt
Filed under: uncultured bacterium
Lineage: Bacteria
Description: partial 16S ribosomal RNA
Rfam family: Bacterial small subunit ribosomal RNA
Source: RNAcentral